UUUGAACUGCUGCGUAAAUCGGUUUCCUAUUUAAAAACUAAGCGGUAGAUUCGAGGCCACGUAGAAAAGGAUUGUGUUGAAACUUCGGCAUUGAACUGUUAUUGAUGAAACCUCGUUUUUGGAAUGGCGGAUAUAAAUCCUUGCGGAAUUUAGAGCGCUUAAUGUGUCAUUUACACGGAUUUGUUGCUGGGCUGCACGUAUUACAGACGUCAAGGAGACGCCGUGGACAUCAUGGAGCACAGGUCUGGCCAUUAUCUCAGUAAGACCACAAGAUGGAGGUACAACUCAACAAAAAAGCGGCAGCGACUCUUACCCGUAGGUCCUCAGUCAUGUGCAGAAGCUCCUCUCUCAGACUGCUGAAGGUGGAGAGCAGCAGGC
Monopterus albus (swamp eel) is the source of this 378-nucleotide long non-coding RNA. RefSeq lists it as uncharacterized. The record is from RefSeq and is a predicted model, not a curated record. NCBI's taxonomy places the organism in Eukaryota, Metazoa, Chordata, Actinopteri, Synbranchiformes, Synbranchidae. The transcript has 3 exons.